RNAcentral lists this ribosomal RNA (460 nucleotides) under uncultured bacterium. RNAcentral describes it as "partial 16S ribosomal RNA". It matches the Rfam family "Bacterial small subunit ribosomal RNA", at positions 338 to 795 of the family's 1533-position model. The record is from RNAcentral.
CCUACGGGUGGCAGCAGUGAGGAAUAUUGGUCAAUGGGCGCGAGCCUGAACCAGCCAAGUAGCGUGAAGGAUGACUGCCCUACGGGUUGUAAACUUCUUUUAUAAGGGAAUAAGGUGCAGCACGUGUGCCUUUUUGUAUGUACUUUAUGAAUAAGGAUCGGCUAACUCCGAGCCAGCAACCGCGGUAAUACGGAGGAUCCGAGCGUUAUCCGGAUUUAUUGGGUUUAAAGGGAGCGUAGAUGGGUUGUUAAGUCAGUUGUGAAAGUUUGCGGCUCAACCGUACAAUGGCAAUUGAGACUGGCAGCCUUGAGUACAGUUGAGGUAGGCGGAAUUCGUGGUGUAGCGGUGAAAUGCUUAGAUAUCACGAAGAACUCCGAUUGCGAAGGCAGCUUACUAAACUGCCACUGACAUUGAUGCUCGAAAGUGUGGGUAUCAAACAGGAUUAGAUACCCCAGUAGUC